Molecule: long non-coding RNA, 796 nt
Filed under: Lynx pardinus (Iberian lynx)
Lineage: Eukaryota; Metazoa; Chordata; Mammalia; Carnivora; Felidae
Source: RNAcentral
GAGAUGGUUUUCGAGGUGGGGGGAGCGCAUGAUGAAUGCUGCUGUUCAAGGCAUCAGGAAGCGGCGAGAAGAUGAGGACCUCAGCUAGGCUCCAGGGUGGUCACGGAGUCCUGCCUCCUGCUUUGUCCUGUCCCCCGCCCUGCUUACUGGCAGUCAUGUGCUUAUUAUCUAGUUAUCCUUCCCACUUGCGGUCUUCAACAUGCCUUACAAUACUUCAGCCUAGACUAUUAGAUACGAACGUGUGGGCCAGACAGACGCGACCUGCCUCGGAGGGGGCCAUCGACCGCUCCACUUGGGAAGGUGCCCCCACAGGUGAUCAGCUGGUAUUUGAAACGUGAUUCGAAGGGGCACUCUGCACAGGUAGCUACCGCAGGGCCUUAGCUGUCUUUACCAACAGUCAAAACCAGGGGUUUUUGUCAUCGGCAUAACACAUCAGGUAAAUCACCUUCCAUUCUCCCCCCUCCCGCCCAUCCCAGGGUGUGGGGAUUGGCCUGCAGUGUUAAACCAACACGUCCCCACUGUGUGAGCCGGCGGAAGGAUAUACAGGGGGUCCAACGGUCUAUGCCCUUCAGAAUGAUGCCCCGGGACUGAUGUGAACCAGCCCAGCCCAGCCGGUUCUUCAGAGGAUCCUUGCUGCCAGUGUCAGAGGCUUGAACAUUUGUCACAUUGACCUUGAGUGCCAUCAGCCCUUCAUGCAAGUGGGAUCGAAGCACCUUAAAAGCGUGAUGGCUGAGACUUCCUCAUGUCCACGGAACAGGAGAUCAUUUUUGUGCCAGUUUGCUAAUAAAUGUAUGUG